GAUGAACGCUGGCGGCGUGCCUAAUACAUGCAAGUCGAGCGAACAGACGAGGAGCUUGCUCCUCUGACGUUAGCGGCGGACGGGUGAGUAACACGUGGAUAACCUACCUAUAAGACUGGGAUAACUUCGGGAAACCGGAGCUAAUACCGGAUAAUAUAUUGAACCGCAUGGUUCAAUAGAGAAAGACGGUUUUGCUGUCACUUAUAGAUGGAUCCGCGCCGCAUUAGCUAGUUGGUAAGGUAACGGCUUACCAAGGCGACGAUGCGUAGCCGACCUGAGAGGGUGAUCGGCCACACUGGAACUGAGACACGGUCCAGACUCCUACGGGAGGCAGCAGUAGGGAAUCUUCCGCAAUGGGCGAAAGCCUGACGGAGCAACGCCACGUGAGUGAUGAAGGUCUUCGGAUCGUAAAACUCUGUUAUUAGGGAAGAACAAAUGUGUAAGUAACUAUGCACGUCUUGACGGUACCUAAUCAGAAAGCCACGGCUAACUACGUG
RNAcentral lists this ribosomal RNA (497 nucleotides) under uncultured bacterium. RNAcentral describes it as "partial 16S ribosomal RNA". It matches the Rfam family "Bacterial small subunit ribosomal RNA", at positions 28 to 507 of the family's 1533-position model. The record is from RNAcentral.